This 703-nucleotide ribosomal RNA is filed under the name uncultured Alphaproteobacteria bacterium. Its description in RNAcentral is "bacterial SSU rRNA". It matches the Rfam family "Bacterial small subunit ribosomal RNA", at positions 9 to 1062 of the family's 1533-position model. Lineage: Bacteria; Pseudomonadati; Pseudomonadota; Alphaproteobacteria. The record is from RNAcentral.
GAGUUUGAUCCUGGCUCAGACCGCACGCUGGCGGCAGGCCUAACACAUGCAAGUCGAACGGAUGUAGCAAUACAUUAGUGGCGCACGGGAGAGUAACGCGUGGGAACCUACCUUUGGGUUCGGGAUAACGUCGGGAAACUGACGCUAAUACCGGAUGACUCCUCAGGGAGAAAGAUUUAUCGCCGAAAGAUGGGCCCGCGUUAGAUUAGCUAGUUGGUGAGGUAACGGCUCACCAAGGCGACGAUCUAUAGCUGGUCUGAGAGGAUGACCAGCCUCACUGGGACUGAGACACGGCCCAGACUCCUACGGGAGGCAGCAGUGGGGAAUAUUGGACAAUGGGGGCAACCCUGAUCCAGCCAUGCCGCGUGAAUGAUGAAGGCCUUCGGGUUGUAAAGUUCUUUUGGUGGGGACGAUGAUGACGGUACCCGCAGAAUAAGCUCCGGCUAACCCCGUGGACGUUGGAACCCUCACGGGUUCUUGUGUCGGAGCUAACGCACUAAGCAUUCCGGCUGGGGAGUACGGUCGCAAGGUUGAAACUCAAAUGAAUUGAUGGGGGGCCGCACAAGCGGUGGAGUAUGUGGUUUAGUUCGACGCAACGCGNGGAACCUUACCAAGCUUCGACAUGUCCAGUGUGGUGCUAGGAGACUAGCCCCUUCAGUUCGGUUGCCUGGAACACAGCUACUGCAUGGUUAUCGUCAGUUCG